AGUGAACGCUGGCGGUAGGCCUAACACAUGCAAGUCGAACGGCAGCACAGUAAGAGCUUGCUCUUACGGGUGGCGAGUGGCGGACGGGUGAGGAAUACAUCGGAAUCUACUUUUUCGUGGGGGAUAACGUAGGGAAACUUACGCUAAUACCGCAUACGACCUACGGGUGAAAGCAGGGGAUCUUCGGACCUUGCGCGAUUGAAUGAGCCGAUGUCGGAUUAGCUAGUUGGCGGGGUAAAGGCCCACCAACGCGACGAUCCGUAGCUGGUCUGAGAGGAUGAUCAGCGAAACUGGAACUGAGACACGGUCCAGACUCCUACGGGAGGCAGCAGUGGGGAAUAUUGGACAAUGGGCGCAAGCCUGAUCCAGCCAUACCGCGUGGGUGAAGAAGGCCUUCGGGUUGUAAAGCCCUUUUGUUGGGAAAGAAAAGCAGCAGGUUAAUACCCCGCUGUUCUGACGGUACCCAAAGAAUAAGCACCGGCUAACUUCGUG
Molecule: ribosomal RNA, 492 nt
Filed under: uncultured bacterium
Lineage: Bacteria
Description: partial 16S ribosomal RNA
Rfam family: Bacterial small subunit ribosomal RNA
Source: RNAcentral